UCAUGUUUUUCGUGUGUCACACAUUUGAAUAACAGACCCUAUCAAUCAUCGAAAAAAUACAGUAGCAAUAGUAAUACCAACAAAAACACCAUGGAACUGAACUGAAACGUUGAGCUAAUGAGUGUUGACAUAUGUCAGUUAAAAUGGAGCCCACUAAUAGGAAGUGAGGGAAAACCGAAAAAGUGACAGAGGAAUGCGCCAUGGCAGUCCCUAUCUGGAUGAUUGUUAACAAGCCGACUGACAAAACCGCAAUGAAAUUGAGCAUUCCAGGGGAUUAAUUAAAAUGUUGACGUCUACCGAAAAAAGCAAUUGAGAUCCUGUAAAUAAAGGACACGAGAGCAAUAAAUAAUAUUACGAAUUGGGAAUC
Non-coding RNA from Drosophila melanogaster (fruit fly), 367 nucleotides. The record is from Ensembl. NCBI's taxonomy places the organism in Eukaryota, Metazoa, Arthropoda, Insecta, Diptera, Drosophilidae.